RNAcentral lists this ribosomal RNA (381 nucleotides) under Manota sp. DK-2013. RNAcentral describes it as "partial 16S ribosomal RNA". The record is from RNAcentral. Lineage: Eukaryota; Metazoa; Arthropoda; Insecta; Diptera; Mycetophilidae.
UCGAAGGUAGCAUAAUCAGUAGUUUUUUAAUUGAAAACUUGUAUGAAUGGUUGAACAAAAUAUAAUCUUUAUUAAUUAAUUUAAUUAAAAAUUAAUUUUUUAGUUAAAAAGCUAAAAUAUUUUAAAAAGACGAGAAGACCCUAUAGAUUUUUAUAAUUAAUAAUUUUUUUUUUAUAAAGAAUAUUUAAAUUUAAAAAUUAUAAAUUAUUUUAUUGGGGUGAUAAUAAAAUUUAAAAAACUUAUAUUUAAAAUUUACAAUAAUAAUUGAAAAAUUGAUCCGUUAUUAAUGAUUAUAAGAUUAAAUUACCUUAGGGAUAACAGCGUAAUUUUUAUAUAAAGUUCAUAUUAAUAUAAAAUUUUGCGACCUCGAUGUUGGAUUAA